Molecule: ribosomal RNA, 301 nt
Filed under: uncultured bacterium
Lineage: Bacteria
Description: partial 16S ribosomal RNA
Rfam family: Bacterial small subunit ribosomal RNA
Source: RNAcentral
CAGCCGCCGCGGUAAUACAGAGGGUGCGAGCGUUAAUCGGAUUUACUGGGCGUAAAGCGUGCGUAGGCGGCUUCUUAAGUCGGAUGUGAAAUCCCUGAGCUUAACUUAGGAAUUGCAUUCGAUACUGGGAAGCUAGAGUAUGGGAGAGGAUGGUAGAAUUCCAGGUGUAGCGGUGAAAUGCGUAGAGAUCUGGAGGAAUACCGAUGGCGAAGGCGGCCCCCUGGACAAAGACUGACGCUCAGGUGCGAAAGCGUGGGGAGCAAACAGGAUUAGAUACCCGUGUAGUCCCUGUCUCUUAUAC